This 459-nucleotide ribosomal RNA is filed under the name uncultured Desulfocapsa sp. Its description in RNAcentral is "bacterial SSU rRNA". It matches the Rfam family "Bacterial small subunit ribosomal RNA", at positions 925 to 1382 of the family's 1533-position model. Lineage: Bacteria; Pseudomonadati; Thermodesulfobacteriota; Desulfobulbia; Desulfobulbales; Desulfocapsaceae. The record is from RNAcentral.
ACAAGCGGUGGAGCAUGUGGUUUAAUUCGACGCAACGCGAAGAACCUUACCUGGGCUUGACAUCCCGAUCGUACCUGCUGGAGACAGCGGGGUCAGUUCGGCUGGAUCGGAGACAGGUGCUGCAUGGCUGUCGUCAGCUCGUGUCGUGAGAUGUUGGGUUAAGUCCCGCAACGAGCGCAACCCUUGUCUUUAGUUGCCAUCAUUAAGUUGGGCACUCUAAAGAGACUGCCGGUGUCAAACCGGAGGAAGGUGGGGAUGACGUCAGGUCCUCAUGGCCUUUAUGACCAGGGCUACACACGUACUACAAUGGCAGGUACAAAGGGCAGCCACUUAGCGAUAAGGCGCGAAUCCCAUAAAACCUGUCUCAGUCCGGAUUGGAGUCUGCAACUCGACUCCAUGAAGUUGGAAUCGCUAGUAAUCGCAGAUCAGCACGCUGCGGUGAAUACGUUCCCGGGCCUU